Portunus trituberculatus (swimming crab) is the source of this 520-nucleotide long non-coding RNA. RefSeq lists it as uncharacterized. The record is from RefSeq and is a predicted model, not a curated record. The transcript is spliced from 3 exons. NCBI's taxonomy places the organism in Eukaryota, Metazoa, Arthropoda, Malacostraca, Decapoda, Portunidae.
GCACCAUCCAGCUCAUUUGAUGUGCGUUGUCAACAAAGCGCGGUCUGGUCUGCUCUUGUCAACCUCACCAUGAAAAGAACUUCACUUCAAGAGCACCCUGACCUCCUACCCUGUGUUUUCCUGCCUCGACUUGAGGAGCGCCAUCAUAUUCACCUUUGGCUUACCUGGUGCCUGCCUCGCGUUACAGCAUGGCGCGUGCAUGAAGAGGAGACUGACGCUGCGAAAGGUGAGCAUGGCAAGUGUGUUGAGUGAUGGAAGCAUGCAGUUGAAUAAAAUUAAAGACAGAUGAACAGAAAGCAUCGUUUAUGUUUUCAUUUUUGUAUACAGAGAAUGUUUGACUAUGCAUUAAUAAGCAUGAUUGAGAUAUUCUCCUUGCUUUCUAUAUUUCAUUUGAAAGAAAUAGAAGAAUAGAAGGAAUAAAAAAAAACUUUAUAUUCGCCUUCCACAUUAAAAAGAAAACUUAUGCGACAACAACACGAUUUAACUUUCAUUCGCAUUCUUAUUUACUGUAGUUAUCUUU